CCACAGCGUUUCAUUCUUCUCCCUGCCCGGAACGCCUCUAGCUGCUAUUUGGGACAACCUAGCCCCAUGGAGCCGUCUCCUCCUUGUCCCUUCCUCGCUCAUCGUUCUGGGCAUCUGCGGCCCGGACACAUGUCCUCUGCAGCCAAGCUGCCUGAGACCUGCUCUCCUUACAAAAGAAUCCGUUUCCACUAAACCCCUGAGCGUUUCACAUGUCGUCAUUAGAAAGCCUCUUGUUUACUCAUCUUCUUUAGUUUAUUUGCCCAGUCCACAAAAAUAUUUGGUCGGCGUGACUUCCUGUAACCAAAUGUGGGUGCCCUGCCGAAAGGUAUCAAGCCGCCUGUACUUUGAUGAGGCUGUGGCUGGGGCCGACCGCCAUUUUGAAACAAGCACAGACCACAAGAAUGCUGGGCAGGGCCUACCCCCUGCAACUGUAACCAGGUUUCAGCGCCGUGGGACCCAUGAAUCACAGGCGUCUGGAGAGAAGUAUCAAGCAGAACAGGGGAAAAACUCAAUCAUCGUCUUGGAGAGUCGUGAUGAGCUGCGGAUACCCCAAGAAUGGACAGGAAGGGCUCCAUCCCGGAGGCCCUGGUUUACCAGCCACAGCGACGGUCUCUGCUCCUGCUCCCAGGCAACAUUCAGAUCUUCAGCGUUUCUUCACAGAGAUUCUUCCCCAGAGGAAGCAGCUUGCCACCUGUUCCUCAGUUUACCCGUGUUCGCCUAAAAAAAAAAACAAGAAAAUGAGCCCUCUUCCUUCUUAACGGAGCCUGAGAUAAAGACAAGUCAGAAGCUUCCAUCUGAAGGGGAAGCACAUCUUCCUGAAGGUUACAUCAGCAACCAGCCUUCCAUCUUCCUGUCCUAAAGAAUCCCUGACACUACUCUGAACAUCAGUGCCCCAGGUUUCUAAAGCCUAAGAAACCUUUUCCUGACAGGCUUCCCUCAGAGAAGAAGGGCCAGCCCCAACUACCCUCAUUUCCUACUCAAGGGCACCAGGAACAAAACUUGCCCACCCAGCCCAGCAGACGGACCGCCUUGCCCAUGGAGACCCACCCAUCAGCUCUGAUCUGUCCCAGGAAAUUCAAAUUCCACAUCCCUUGAUUAUGAGCAAUCAACACUUUAUGUUUUCCUCAGGCCAGGCCGUCUCCAAACAUGAUCCCCACAGCCCCAAAUGACACCCACCACACCCCAGGGCAUGCGGCAGGCGAGCCGGGGGUCCUUACCUCUCUCCACCUUCCCACUCUGGACUGUUCUCUGUGCCCCUCACGGUUGCCACAGGUCUCCCAGACCCGCUCUGCCAUUUGAGGCAAGGAAGCACGCUAUGGUAUUCCAUAAAUUACUUGGCAAGAGUGGAUGACAAAAACAAAAUGUAAUUCAGAUUAAAGUCACCCUCCAGCUGAAAUGAUAGUUUAUUAAAUAAACGGCAGUGCUGCCAAUCA
Molecule: long non-coding RNA, 1433 nt
Filed under: Felis catus (domestic cat)
Lineage: Eukaryota; Metazoa; Chordata; Mammalia; Carnivora; Felidae
Description: lncRNA (ENSFCAG00000040984.2)
Source: RNAcentral